UCCGCAAUGGGCUAAAGCCUGUACGGAGCAAGUNCCGCGUGGGGGNUGAAGGUUUGUGGAUUGUAAACCCCUUUUGAUUGGGAAGAAUACUGACGGUACCAAUCGAAUAAGCCUCGGCUAACUCCGUGCCAGCAGCCGCGGUAAUACGGAGGAGGCAAGCGUUAUCCGGAAUUAUUGGGCGUAAAGCGUCCGUAGGUGGUUUAGUAAGUCUGCUGUUAAAGCGCGGGGCUUAACUCCGUAUCGGCAGUGGAAACUACUAGACUAGAGUGUGGUAGGGGUAGAGGGAAUUCCCAGUGUAGCGGUGAAAUGCGUAGAUAUUGGGAAGAACACCGGUGGCGAAAGCGCUCUACUGGGCCAUAACUGACACUGAUGGACGAAAGCUAGGGGAGCGAAAGGGAUUAGAUACCCCU
RNAcentral lists this ribosomal RNA (410 nucleotides) under uncultured cyanobacterium. RNAcentral describes it as "bacterial SSU rRNA". It matches the Rfam family "Bacterial small subunit ribosomal RNA", at positions 365 to 789 of the family's 1533-position model. The record is from RNAcentral. Lineage: Bacteria; Bacillati; Cyanobacteriota.